AUCCAACAGACGAGUCCCAAACAGGACGAAACGCGCGUCCUGGAU
Molecule: non-coding RNA, 45 nt
Filed under: Schistosoma mansoni
Lineage: Eukaryota; Metazoa; Platyhelminthes; Trematoda; Strigeidida; Schistosomatidae
Source: RNAcentral